RNAcentral lists this non-coding RNA (127 nucleotides) under Pteridomonas danica. Lineage: Eukaryota; Dictyochophyceae; Pedinellales. The record is from RNAcentral.
CUAACACAAACAUGCUUGUUUUAGACACAGAAAAACAUAACAUCCUAUCCUCAAUUCACACACAAUCAUUGUUCUUCUUUUCCCGUCAAUGUGUGUUUUAAAAGACGACGACGAUGAAGAAGAAGAU